RNAcentral lists this ribosomal RNA (434 nucleotides) under Fusarium vanettenii. RNAcentral describes it as "partial large subunit ribosomal RNA". The record is from RNAcentral. Lineage: Eukaryota; Fungi; Ascomycota; Sordariomycetes; Hypocreales; Nectriaceae.
UUUGAAAUCUGGCUCUCGGGCCCGAGUUGUAAUUUGUAGAGGAUGCUUUUGGUGAGGUGCCUUCCGAGUUCCCUGGAACGGGACGCCAUAGAGGGUGAGAGCCCCGUCUGGUUGGACGCCGAACCUCUGUAAAGCUCCUUCGACGAGUCGAGUAGUUUGGGAAUGCUGCUCUAAAUGGGAGGUAUAUGUCUUCUAAAGCUAAAUACCGGCCAGAGACCGAUAGCGCACAAGUAGAGUGAUCGAAAGAUGAAAAGAACUUUGAAAARAGAGUUAAACAGUACGUGAAAUUGUUGAAAGGGAAGCGCUUGUGACCAGACUUGGGCUUGGUUGAUCAUCCGGGGUUCUCCCCGGUGCACUCUUCCGGCCCAGGCCAGCAUCAGUUCGCCCUGGGGGACAAAGGCAUCGGGAACGUGGCUCUCUCCGGGGAGUGUUAU